This 253-nucleotide ribosomal RNA is filed under the name uncultured bacterium. RNAcentral's name for it is "partial 16S ribosomal RNA". It matches the Rfam family "Bacterial small subunit ribosomal RNA", at positions 524 to 776 of the family's 1533-position model. The record is from RNAcentral.
GACGAACCACCCGAACGUUAUUCGGAAUCACUGGGCUUAAAGAGUGCGUAGGCGGCCUUGAAAGUUAGGUGUGAAAUCCCACAGCUCAACUGUGGAACUGCGCUUAAAACUAUGAGGCUAGAGGGAUAUAGGGGUGAGCGGAACUGAUGGUGGAGCGGUGAAAUGCGUUGAUAUCAUCAGGAACACCGGCGGCGAAGGCGGCUCACUGGGUAUCUUCUGACGCUGAGGUACGAAAGCUAGGGGAGCGAACGGG